This is a long non-coding RNA of Homo sapiens (human), 953 nucleotides long. RefSeq annotates it as CFAP95 divergent transcript. The transcript is spliced from 2 exons. NCBI's taxonomy places the organism in Eukaryota, Metazoa, Chordata, Mammalia, Primates, Hominidae. The record is from RefSeq and is marked validated.
CUGACGGCCAAACGUUUCCUAGACGUUGUCGUUACUGAUAAGAAACUACAUUUCCCAGAAUGCAGUGAGGGUAGCGACCGGGCUACACAGUAGAAACAGGGUUUCACCAUGUUGGCCAUGCUGGUCUCGAACUCCAGAACUCAAGUGAUCCGUCCGCCUCGGUCUUCCAAACUGCUGGGAUUACAGGCGUGAGCCACCGCGCCCAGCCUUUGGGGAAGUUCUUUUUACCGUCCAUCAUCCAUUGCCACCACACCUUCUGCUUACGAGUUAUUUAUAAUAAGUUUAACUAAAAGAGAACGAGAGAACAUCCCCUGAAACCCAAAGUUUGUCAUUCUAUACAGCUUUCCUGCCUGCAAAAGAGGAGGAGCAGACUCAUCCAGCAAAUCACCUAAAAAGUUUGAAGAUCAAAAAGCCUAGCUCCAGUUUCAGAUCCUUCCCCUACCUUUCUGAACACUAGUUUCUUCCUCUGAAAAACGAAAGAGGGAACGGGACCGUAGAGUGGAGUGGGCACAAGAAUCGCAAGUCCCUUCUGGCUAUGACGCUGCAAGACUCUAGGUACAGUUUAGGACUCCGGGCAUUCAGAUCCCCGGGACUUGUCAAGUUCUCCUCAUUGACAUUUUUGAUAUUUCGUGACAACACAAAUUCAUCACAUUUUUGUGCUGUGUGUUAUAUGUGGGAAGGAGAUUUUAAAAAGAUUGCCUUUUGAAGUUAUUGGAUAGCUGUGUUACAGAAGAAAACAUUGCCUUCAAGAAGUUAUUGGAUAGAUAUGUUACAGAAGAAAAGACGUUUGUUUCAUUUUUGACUUUGCAGGAAAAGAAUAUGUAACACAUCAGAAUUCUUCUCUCCUCCCUGGCCUUAGUCGAGUACCUGAGGGGCAUUAAAGCACUUCCUCCUUGCAAUCACUUACCCAGCAUAGUCCUUAAUACAGAUAUCUUCAUUGUUGAAUGAAUGAA